This 769-nucleotide ribosomal RNA is filed under the name Pantoea brenneri. RNAcentral's name for it is "bacterial SSU rRNA". It matches the Rfam family "Bacterial small subunit ribosomal RNA", at positions 1 to 771 of the family's 1533-position model. The record is from RNAcentral. Lineage: Bacteria; Pseudomonadati; Pseudomonadota; Gammaproteobacteria; Enterobacterales; Erwiniaceae.
AUAGAAGUGUCUCCUGGCUCAGAUUGAGCGCUGGCCACAGGCCUAACACACACAAGUGGGACGGGAGCACAGAGAGCUUGUUCUUGGGUGACGAGUGGCGGACGGGUGAGUAAUGUCUGGGGAUCUGCCCGAUAGAGGGGGAUAACCACUGGAAACGGUGGCUAAUACCGCAUAACGUCGCAAGACCAAAGAGGGGGACCUUCGGGCCUCUCACUAUCGGAUGAACCCAGAUGGGAUUAGCUAGUAGGCGGGGUAAUGGCCCACCUAGGCGACGAUCCCUAGCUGGUCUGAGAGGAUGACCAGCCACACUGGAACUGAGACACGGUCCAGACUCCUACGGGAGGCAGCAGUGGGGAAUAUUGCACAAUGGGCGCAAGCCUGAUGCAGCCAUGCCGCGUGUAUGAAGAAGGCCUUCGGGUUGUAAAGUACUUUCAGCGGGGAGGAAGGCGAUGUGGUUAAUAACCGCGUCGAUUGACGUUACCCGCAGAAGAAGCACCGGCUAACUCCGUGCCAGCAGCCGCGGUAAUACGGAGGGUGCAAGCGUUAAUCGGAAUUACUGGGCGUAAAGCGCACGCAGGCGGUCUGUUAAGUCAGAUGUGAAAUCCCCGGGCUUAACCUGGGAACUGCAUUUGAAACUGGCAGGCUUGAGUCUUGUAGAGGGGGGUAGAAUUCCAGGUGUAGCGGUGAAAUGCGUAGAGAUCGGAGGAAUACCGGUGGCGAAGGCGGCCCCCGGACAAAGACGACGUCAGGUGCGAAAGCUGAGCAGCCA